RNAcentral lists this microRNA precursor (73 nucleotides) under Xenopus laevis (African clawed frog). RNAcentral describes it as "Xla-Novel-18_pre stem-loop". Lineage: Eukaryota; Metazoa; Chordata; Amphibia; Anura; Pipidae. The record is from RNAcentral.
UGGGGCAAUUGUGAGUCAGAUGAUUAUCAUUGUAAAAUGGUUAAUGCUGUCUCUGACCCGCAAUGGCACCAGU